AGUGAACGCUGGCGGUAGGCCUAACACAUGCAAGUCGAACGGCAGCACAGUAAGAGCUUGCUCUUACGGGUGGCGAGUGGCGGACGGGUGAGGAAUACAUCGGAAUCUACUUUUUCGUGGGGGAUAACGUAGGGAAACUUACGCUAAUACCGCAUACGAUCUACGGGUGAAAGCAGGGGAUCUUGGGACCUUGCGCGAUUGAAUGAGCCGAUGUCGGAUUAGCUAGUUGGCGGGGUAAAGGCCCACCAAGGCGACGAUCCGUAGCUGAUCUGAGAGGAUGAUCAGCCACACUGGAACUGAGACACGGUCCAGACUCCUACGGGAGGCAGCAGUGGGGAAUAUUGCACAAAGGGCGCAAGCCUGAUCCAGCCAUGCCGCGUGAGUGAAGAAGGCCUUCGGGUUGUAAAGCCCUUUUGUUGGGAAAGAAAAGCAGCAGGUUAAUCCCCCGCUGUUCUGACGGUACCCAAAGAAUAAGCACCGGCUAACUUCGUG
Molecule: ribosomal RNA, 492 nt
Filed under: uncultured bacterium
Lineage: Bacteria
Description: partial 16S ribosomal RNA
Rfam family: Bacterial small subunit ribosomal RNA
Source: RNAcentral